RNAcentral lists this ribosomal RNA (1395 nucleotides) under Pseudomonas putida. Its description in RNAcentral is "bacterial SSU rRNA". It matches the Rfam family "Bacterial small subunit ribosomal RNA". Lineage: Bacteria; Pseudomonadati; Pseudomonadota; Gammaproteobacteria; Pseudomonadales; Pseudomonadaceae. The record is from RNAcentral.
GGACGGGUGAGUAAUGCCUAGGAAUCUGCCUGGUAGUGGGGGACAACGUUUUCGAAAGGAACGCUAAUACCGCAUACGUCCUACGGGAGAAAGCAGGGGACCUUCGGGCCUUGCGCUAUCAGAUGAGCCUAGGUCGGAUUAGCUAGUUGGUGAGGUAAUGGCUCACCAAGGCGACGAUCCGUAACUGGUCUGAGAGGAUGAUCAGUCACACUGGAACUGAGACACGGUCCAGACUCCUACGGGAGGCAGCAGUGGGGAAUAUUGGACAAUGGGCGAAAGCCUGAUCCAGCCAUGCCGCGUGUGUGAAGAAGGUCUUCGGAUUGUAAAGCACUUUAAGUUGGGAGGAAGGGUUGUAGAUUAAUACUCUGCAAUUUUGACGUUACCGACAGAAUAAGCACCGGCUAACUCUGUGCCAGCAGCCGCGGUAAUACAGAGGGUGCAAGCGUUAAUCGGAAUUACUGGGCGUAAAGCGCGCGUAGGUGGUUUGUUAAGUUGGAUGUGAAAGCCCCGGGCUCAACCUGGGAACUGCAUUCAAAACUGACAAGCUAGAGUAUGGUAGAGGGUGGUGGAAUUUCCUGUGUAGCGGUGAAAUGCGUAGAUAUAGGAAGGAACACCAGUGGCGAAGGCGACCCCUGGACUGAUACUGACACUGAGGUGCGAAAGCGUGGGAGCAAACAGGAUUAGAUACCCUGGUAGUCCACGCCGUAAACGAUGUCAACUAGCCGUUGGGAGCCUUGAGCUCUUAGUGGCGCAGCUAACGCAUUAAGUUGACCGCCUGGGGAGUACGGCCGCAAGGUUAAAACUCAAAUGAAUUGACGGGGGCCCGCACAAGCGGUGGAGCAUGUGGUUUAAUUCGAAGCAACGCGAAGAACCUUACCAGGCCUUGACAUCCAAUGAACUUUCCAGAGAUGGAUUGGUGCCUUCGGGAACAUUGAGACAGGUGCUGCAUGGCUGUCGUCAGCUCGUGUCGUGAGAUGUUGGGUUAAGUCCCGUAACGAGCGCAACCCUUGUCCUUAGUUACCAGCACGUAAUGGUGGGCACUCUAAGGAGACUGCCGGUGACAAACCGGAGGAAGGUGGGGAUGACGUCAAGUCAUCAUGGCCCUUACGGCCUGGGCUACACACGUGCUACAAUGGUCGGUACAGAGGGUUGCCAAGCCGCGAGGUGGAGCUAAUCCCAUAAAACCGAUCGUAGUCCGGAUCGCAGUCUGCAACUCGACUGCGUGAAGUCGGAAUCGCUAGUAAUCGCGAAUCAGAAUGUCGCGGUGAAUACGUUCCCGGGCCUUGUACACACCGCCCGUCACACCAUGGGAGUGGGUUGCACCAGAAGUAGCUAGUCUAACCUUCGGGGGGACGGUUACCACGGUGUGAUUCAUGACUGGGGGAAGUCUACCAG